GGCGUGCCUAAUACAUGCAAGUCGAGCGGAGAUUUGAAAAGCUUGCUUUUCAAAUCUUAGCGGCGGACGGGUGAGUAACACGUGGGCAACCUGCCCUUGAGACGGGGAUAACUCCGGGAAACCGGAGCUAAUACCGGAUAACACAUAUCUUCGCAUGAGGAUAUGUUAGAAGGUGGCUUUUAGCUACCACUCAAGGAUGGGCCCGCGGCGCAUUAGCUAGUUGGUGAGGUAACGGCUCACCAAGGCGACGAUGCGUAGCCGACCUGAGAGGGUGAUCGGCCACACUGGGACUGAGACACGGCCCAGACUCCUACGGGAGGCAGCAGUAGGGAAUCUUCCGCAAUGGACGAAAGUCUGACGGAGCAACGCCGCGUGAGUGAUGAAGGUUUUCGGAUCGUAAAGCUCUGUUGUUAGGGAAGAACAAGUACCUGUUAAAUAAGCAGGUACCUUGACGGUACCUAACCAGAAAGCCACGGCUAACUACGUGCCAGCAGCCGCGGUAAUACGUAGGUGGCAAGCGUUGUCCGGAAUUAUUGGGCGUAAAGCGCGCGCAGGCGGUUCCUUAAGUCUGAUGUGAAAGCCCACGGCUCAACCGUGGAGGGUCAUUGGAAACUGGGGAACUUGAGUGCAGAAGAGGAGAGCGGAAUUCCACGUGUAGCGGUGAAAUGCGUAGAGAUGUGGAGGAACACCAGUGGCGAAGGCGGCUCUCUGGUCUGUAACUGACGCUGAGGCGCGAAAGCGUGGGGGAGCGAACAGGAUUAGAUACCCUGGUAGUCCACGCCGUAAACGAUGAGUGCUAAGUGUUAGAGGGUUUCCGCCCUUU
This 823-nucleotide ribosomal RNA is filed under the name Priestia endophytica. RNAcentral's name for it is "bacterial SSU rRNA". It matches the Rfam family "Bacterial small subunit ribosomal RNA", at positions 41 to 841 of the family's 1533-position model. The record is from RNAcentral. Lineage: Bacteria; Bacillati; Bacillota; Bacilli; Caryophanales; Bacillaceae.